RNAcentral lists this ribosomal RNA (284 nucleotides) under uncultured Pseudomonadota bacterium. RNAcentral's name for it is "uncultured proteobacterium partial 16S ribosomal RNA". The stretch from base 1 to 182 matches the Rfam family "Bacterial small subunit ribosomal RNA", at positions 365 to 544 of the family's 1533-position model. The record is from RNAcentral. Lineage: Bacteria; Pseudomonadati; Pseudomonadota.
GAGAUCAUGGGCGCAAGCUGAUCAGCAAUGCGCGUGUGUGAGAGGCCUUCGGGUUGUAAAGCACUUUCGGUGGGAAAGAAAAUCCUCUGGUUAAUACCCCUGCGUCUUGACGUUUCCCACAGAAGAAGCACCGGCUAACUCCGUGCCAGCAGCCGCGGUAAUAUACAGCCCGCGGCCGUGGUAAUACGGGGGCCAUCGGGGCCGGUGUUACGGGGGGGAUUUGGGGGGGCUGGGGGGGGGUAUUUCGCCUGUUGUUUUUUUUUUUUGGGGGGGGUUUCAUUCGG